Molecule: ribosomal RNA, 220 nt
Filed under: uncultured bacterium
Lineage: Bacteria
Description: partial 16S ribosomal RNA
Rfam family: Bacterial small subunit ribosomal RNA
Source: RNAcentral
CUAGAUCUCAGUUCGGAUUGCAGGCUGCAACCCGCCUGCAUGAAGUCGGAAUCGCUAGUAAUCGCGGGUCAGCAUACCGCGGUGAAUACGUUCCCGGGCCUUGUACACACCGCCCGUCACACCACGAAAGUUGGUAACACCCGAAGUCGGUAGUCUAACCGCAAGGAGGACGCCGCCGAAGGUGGGGUUGAUGAUUAGGGUUAAGUCGUAACAAGGUACC